This 451-nucleotide ribosomal RNA is filed under the name uncultured bacterium. RNAcentral describes it as "bacterial SSU rRNA". It matches the Rfam family "Bacterial small subunit ribosomal RNA", at positions 32 to 507 of the family's 1533-position model. The record is from RNAcentral.
AAUCAACGCUGGCGGCGUGCCUAACACAUGCAAGUCGAACGAGAAAGGGGACUUCGGUCCCUGAGUACAGUGGCGCACGGGUGAGUAACACGUGACUUAUCUACCCUCGAGUGGGGAAUAACUUCGGGAAACCGAGGCUAAUACCGCAUAAUACCCACGGGUCAAAGGAGCAAUUCGCUUGAGGAGGAGGUCGCGGCCGAUUAGUUAGUUGGUCGGGGUAAUGGCCCCACCCAAGACGGUGAUCGGUAUCCGGCCUGAGAGGGCGCACGGACACACUGGAACUGAAACACGGUCCAGACUCCUACGGGAGGCAGCAGUGGGGAAUUUUGCGCAAUGGGGGAAACCCUGACGCAGCAACGCCGCGUGGAGGAUGAAGUCUCUUGGGACGUAAACUCCUUUCGAUCGGGACGAUUAUGACGGUACCGAAGAAGAAGCCCCGGCUAACUUCGUG